GGAGGACACAGAUUAGGAACACAGAAACAAAUGAGUCACCACCAUGACAACACCCUCUACUGGAAAGGUAUGAGUCAUCCCAGCUGAGGACAUCCUAAACCAGCCAGCCCCCAGCCAACCUACCCGCUGACCACAGAUGCAUGAGUAAGACAGCUGUACCUAGCCCACAUCAGUAGAACUAGACAACUUGUCUCUAGACAACUAGACAACUAGACUCAAGUAAGAUGGUUGUUGCUUUGAGCCACCAAGUUCUGGGUUAGUUUGUUACACAGCAGUAACUAACAUAUGUAUACUUAACGGGUGUACAAUUUAUGACUCCAAACCAGGUGUUUUAAUGAAUCACCUGCAGAAAUGACCCAGGC
This 362-nucleotide long non-coding RNA is filed under the name Pan troglodytes (chimpanzee). RNAcentral describes it as "long non-coding RNA NONPTRT004101". The record is from RNAcentral. Lineage: Eukaryota; Metazoa; Chordata; Mammalia; Primates; Hominidae.